RNAcentral lists this ribosomal RNA (308 nucleotides) under uncultured bacterium. Its description in RNAcentral is "partial 16S ribosomal RNA". It matches the Rfam family "Bacterial small subunit ribosomal RNA", at positions 505 to 807 of the family's 1533-position model. The record is from RNAcentral.
GAGACAGCAGUAGCCGCGGUAAAACAGAGGGUGCGAGCGUUAAUCGGAUUUACUGGGCGUAAAGCGUGCGUAGGCGGUUUGUUAAGUCAGAUGUGAAAUCCCCGGGCUCAACCUGGGAACUGCAUCUGAUACUGGCAAGCUUGAGUCUCGUAGAGGGGGGUAGAAUUCCAGGUGUAGCGGUGAAAUGCGUAGAGAUCUGGAGGAAUACCGGUGGCGAAGGCAGCCAUCUGGCCUAAUACUGACGCUGAGGUACGAAAGCAUGGGGAGCAAACAGGAUUAGAUACCCGUGUAGUCCCUGUCUCUUAUAC